This 400-nucleotide ribosomal RNA is filed under the name uncultured bacterium. RNAcentral's name for it is "bacterial SSU rRNA". It matches the Rfam family "Bacterial small subunit ribosomal RNA", at positions 359 to 759 of the family's 1533-position model. The record is from RNAcentral.
CAUUAGCCGGGGCGAAGCCUGACCGCAAUGCCGCGUGCAGGAAGAAGGCCUUCGGGUUGUAAACUGCUUUUGUACGGAACGAAACGGCCUUUUCUAAUAAAGAGGGCUAAUGACGGUACCGUAAGAAUAAGCACCGGCUAACUACGUGCCAGCAGCCGCGGUAAUACGUAGGGUGCGAGCGUUAAUCGGAAUUACUGGGCGUAAAGCGUGCGCAGGCGGUUCUAUAAGACAGAUGUGAAAUCCCCGGGCUCAACCUGGGAAUGGCAUUUGUGACUGUAGAGCUAGAGUACGGUAGAGGGGGAUGGAAUUCCGCGUGUAGCAGUGAAAUGCGUAGAUAUGCGGAGGAACACCGAUGGCGAAGGCAAUCCCCUGGACCUGUACUGACGCUCAUGCACGAAAG